CACGUAGGGCGCAAGCGUUGUCCGGAAUUAUUGGGCGUAAAGAGCUCGUAGGUGGUUUGUUACGUCCGCUGUGAAAACCUAGGGCUUAACCCUGGGCUUGCAGUGGAUACGGGCAGACUAGAGUGCGGUAGGGGAGACUGGAAUUCCUGGUGUAGCGGUGAAAUGCGUAGAGAUGUGGAGGAACACCGAUGGCGAAGGCAGCCCCCUGGGUCAAGAUUGACGCUCAUGCACGAA
Molecule: ribosomal RNA, 234 nt
Filed under: uncultured prokaryote
Description: partial 16S ribosomal RNA
Rfam family: Bacterial small subunit ribosomal RNA
Source: RNAcentral